CAAAUUCCCAAUCCAAGUCUGACAGUUCCCAAAGGAAGAAUGAUCCAAUUCCUAGCAGCAAACUCCACCAAAUUGAGUAAUCAAUUUCUCAUUCCCAAAUCCAAAAGCUUGCAAACCCUUUUCCUCCCUUCCUAAUUCUGUUCACCGUAACCAAGUCCAAAAGCUUAAUGCCAGUGGUUCUUCUUCUGCCAAGUUUGACCGUUGUUCGGGUUCUGCGCCUACUUCCGACUUCCUGCUCUGGUCAGCAAACAGCAGGGAAGAAAAUUCGGCUUCACAAGUUCGCCCGGUAAGUGGUUUAUGUUCUAGUUCAUUGCUGGGUUUUUUUUUUUUUUGAUGGGGGANNNNNNNNNNNNNNNNNNNNNNNNNNNNNNNNNNNNNNNNNNNNNNNNNNNNNNNNNNNNNNNNNNNNNNNNNNNNNNNNNNNNNNNNNNNNUAUUUUUUUUUUCUAUUUUGUUGGCUAUCUUCUAGUUGAUUUGUUGAAUAAAUAAUAAUGAAUGUUGUUAAACUUUUUAUCUCAUGUCUGUAAAUUGUGUUCAUUUUUAAUUUGUUAUUACUUAUUAGUCUUAUAAAUAUUGAGUUAUAAUAUUUUAUGAAUUAUGAUUUAUGUUUUGACAGUUUUGUGACUUGCAAGUUAUUAUGGAAAAUUGUGAUUGUGAUUUAUGAUAAGUAAUUUAUGCUUUAUGAGCAUGAAUUACGAUUAUCGAUUUGGUAAUUUAUAUUUAGGAAAUUGAAAAAAUUUAAUUGAGAAGAUGUUGGUCACUCAAUUCAACAUAUUUUCAUAUGUAUAUAAUUUUGACGUUUUAGUUUAUUUACAUAUAUAUUGAAUAAUUUUUAGUAUUAUUUAAUCAAAUUUUAAUAAACGAUCGGAUUAUUACGAUGUUAAUUAUCGAUGGUUAACGGUCAAUAAUUAACCUCCGUCCUAGCUGGACUUCGAUCUUGAAUUGGUCUCUGGGUGGGGGUGGCGUGAGGUGGGGCUAAAACAAUGGAUUGGUGGCAAUACCUUAGUUGGCCAUUGACAUGAGGUGGGACCAAACACCAUAACACUACUUCUUACUUUCCCUAUUGUAAUAUUUCAAUUCAAACCCCCUUUUUUUUUUUUUUUUUUUCAUUUGCGAAGAGAAUAAGUAAUCUUUAUGUUUCUGUCACCUCUUUACAUCAUUAAAUCCAUUCUAUUUCUAUAAGGGCUGUAACCAGUAACACUCAUUCAAAAUCACCGCUCAAACUUUUCAACUUUCUGCCUUCUUAAAUUAUUAUACGAUAUACCACAAGAAAAUUUGCUUCUCAUUUCUUGAAAACUCUCUCUCCUCUCUCUAGAAUCUGAUGCACGCAGUACACCAUUCUGAUUCAGAACCCUCAAAAAUAAGCCACAUCAAUUGCAUAUUCUAGCUUUGCAUAAUGAGUAAUUGCUGUAGAAAUCAAUUUCUUCUUCUUCUUUGGUUGUUGCUGCUGUUCAUCUUCAUCACUGUUCAUUGCAAUUGCUCAAGAACCACCCGUGUAUUCAAAAUCAAACCCAAAUCUCAAAAUUCAGGCCAUUUUAUGAACUGCUUACCGAAAAGGAUCCCUGUGCCAGCCUCAAGUCCAUCCAGAAAACACAAUGAAAUUGGGCUACAGUCUUGGAGAUUACCUUGAAGAUAUAUUACAGAUCAGAUAUGAAGACAAUUUUUCUUUUGUGAAACGAAAAAGGUGAAACAAGAAAUGACACUCUUUACAUACUUUAGAGCCGCGGAAAAAUUGGGAAUUGAUAUUGUGUAUAUACGUGGAUUUGUUUAUUGGUCUCCUUUUUCUUUUCCUUUGCUUUGCUAACAAGGUUUUGCACUACAUUUUUUCUUCUGGACAAAGCACUUGCUUUGGAUCUUCUACUAAAUGUAGCAAUGACGUUGCGAACAAAAUGACUCCGUAGUGGAUCCA
RNAcentral lists this long non-coding RNA (1908 nucleotides) under Olea europaea (common olive). RNAcentral describes it as "long non-coding RNA (OEUR_LNC010528)". The record is from RNAcentral. Lineage: Eukaryota; Viridiplantae; Streptophyta; Magnoliopsida; Lamiales; Oleaceae.